Molecule: ribosomal RNA, 253 nt
Filed under: uncultured bacterium
Lineage: Bacteria
Description: partial 16S ribosomal RNA
Rfam family: Bacterial small subunit ribosomal RNA
Source: RNAcentral
UACGAAGGGGGCCAGCGUUAUUCGGAAUUAUUGGGCGUAAAGGGCGCGUAGGCUGCUUUGCGUGUCUUUCGUGAAAUCCCUCGGCUCAACUGAGGACGUGCGGAAGAAACUGCAGGGCUGGAGUCCGGGAGAGGAGGGUGGAAUUCCCGCUGUAGCGGUGAAAUGCGUAGAUAUUGGGAGGAACACCGGUGGCGAAGGCGGCCCCCUGGACCGGUACUGACGCUGAGGCGCGAAAGCGUGGGUAGCAAACGGG